Molecule: ribosomal RNA, 460 nt
Filed under: uncultured bacterium
Lineage: Bacteria
Description: partial 16S ribosomal RNA
Rfam family: Bacterial small subunit ribosomal RNA
Source: RNAcentral
CCUACGGGAGGCAGCAGUGAGGAAUAUUGGUCAAUGGAGGCAACUCUGAACCAGCCAAGUAGCGUGCAGGAUGACGGCCCUAUGGGUUGUAAACUGCUUUUAUGCGGGGAUAAACUGAGUCACGUGUGGCUUAUUGCAGGUACCGCAUGAAUAAGGACCGGCUAAUUCCGUGCCAGCAGCCGCGGUAAUACGGAAGGUCCGGGCGUUAUCCGGAUUUAUUGGGUUUAAAGGGAGCGCAGGCCGCACGUUAAGCGUGUUGUGAAAUGCCGGGGCUCAACCGUGGCACUGCAGCGCGAACUGGGGGGCUUGAGUGCGCGGGAGGUAGGCGGAAUGCGUGGUGUAGCGGUGAAAUGCAUAGAUAUCGCGCAGAACUCCGAUUGCGAAGGCAGCAUGCCGGCGCCAAACUGACGCUGAGGCACGAAAGCGUGGGUAUCGAACAGGAUUAGAUACCCUAGUAGUC